Molecule: transfer RNA, 72 nt
Filed under: Psolodesmus mandarinus
Lineage: Eukaryota; Metazoa; Arthropoda; Insecta; Odonata; Calopterygidae
Description: tRNA-Ile
Source: RNAcentral
AAUAAAGUGCCUGAAAAUAGGGCUAUCUUGAUAGGAUAGAUAAUGUGAAAUAUUAAAUGUUCACCUUUAUUA